GUGGCCCCCUGUAAGCCAAGGACAGAGGCCUUGAAACCAAGCCUGCCAGCACCUUCAUCUCAGACUUCAGCUCCCAAAACUGUGAGGAAGUAUAUUUCUGUUGUCUGAGCCACCCACUCUCUGGCACUUUGUUACAGUGGCCCUAGCAAAUUAAUAUAGAAACUAAGGUCUGGUAAGAAAAAACAAAAACAAACCAUGCAUUGGUAGGAGACUUAUUCGGUCUCUGUGAUGAGUUGCUUCCCUCGGUGAUUUUUGCCCUAUACGUUUGUCCUAUCACCUUACCUCUCGAAGCUUCUGCCAAGCCAGACUCUUUUUGGCAUCUUUCUCUAUGACGGGAUCUCACUCAGAAAGAUGCUUUCUGCAUCUUGCACAGUUCGGAAGUCUCUGGAGUGGUGAAUUGGCGUGGCCUUCAUUGGUGGCAGAGGCGCCAGCCCCUACAGAGAGAGAGGCUGGGCACCUGAGAACUUGCACCUUAUUCGGCAUUCCCUGAGCACUGUCACUCUCAGCUUUUCUAGCCCACCCUCUUUGGGGAGCUGCAGCAAUCUUGCUUGAAAUGUGUUUUGCCCCUGUUUUCACAGGAGGUAAAUGUGGCAUGUAAAUGCAUUUUUAAUGACUCAGAUCUGCAUUUGAAAGUACUUUCCAGCUUUGCUGGGUCAUUAAACCUUUAAAUUCUUUAAUAUUUUAAUGAUUUUUAUAGUCCAGCGAUGUGUAGGUUUGUUCAAGUUUGCACCCUCCUCCUGCUUCCUUGCCCGCAAGAUGCUCCAGCAAGAGCUCACCAAAGGCUUAUUGAACACACGGCCCUGUUCUGACCGGGUCCUUUCUUGGCAGCCAGUCCCCUGCACUGGCAGUCACCCUAGCAGAGGCUUAUCAUCUGCUCUUUCUAGCAGAGGCUCAUCUUACUCAGGCUUAGGUUCUAAAGGCAGUUAGGAUGGUCCAAAUGACCUUUGGAAAUCUGCUCAGAAGUUGCCAUGUUGGAGAUCAUGAAACCAUUUCCCGGUAAGUCCAGUGGGUCCAGCUAUCCCUCCAGUGUUGGAACAGAAUAUGGUCUUUUCAGUGGAGUCCCCAGUAAGGAUUGGCCUGUGUCCAGGGGCUAUGCUACACCAGGCCUGGCUAGUUCUUACACAAUGAGAAGAAGGCAGAAACCAAGACCUACUGGGAACAGCAGAUUCAUAUCCAUUCACUGAGUGGAAAUGUAGGCAGAAUUACCUGUAUUAUUUAAAUAGUGCUCUCUUCCCCCAGCCCCCAACCUCCUCUCUCUCUCUCUUUCUCCCUCUCUCCCUCUUUAGUUUUGCCGAACACACGUGUAGCAUGGCUCAGUACAAUAUGGCAGACGGAAUACUCCCUGGGGUCCAGGAUGAGAGACUGCAAAGUUCGUUCAGCCACAAGCAUUUUGGAGAAUGCUAAGGCCAAGGCAGACUCUGCAAGCAAAUAGAAGUCAUUGCUCUCUCUUAGGUUCAGUUUACUCACCUGUAAGAUGCAUGUUUCAGGAUUGGAUGAUCCCGAGGCUCCCUUCUGGAGCUUCUGACAUGGGCAAGUUCAAACUCAGGCUCUCAGCUGAGGAAGACUAGCCACCUAGGACAGCCGUAAUAACCCAGGGUGCUAGGAAAGCGCUGGCCCAUUCCCCUGCACUGCCCGGAAAUGUCCUAAGACAGAAUUUGGUAGAAGGGAGAACAAAGCUAAGCAAUGAGUUCUGUAGGAGAAUGCCUGCUAAUUCACCCUGCUUGCCUCCAAUGCCUCUUCAGCAAAUCUUUUUUUGUUUUAAGAAUUUUUUUUUAUUUGAGAGAAAGAGUGAGCAGGAGGGGGAGGGAGAAUCUCGAGCAGAGUCCAUGCUGAGCACAGAGCCUGAUGCAGGGCUCGAUCUCACACUGCAAGACCAUUACCUGAACCCAAGAGUCGGACACUUAACCGACUGAGCCCACCCAAGAGCCACCAGGUCAGCAAAUCUUGAUUUUGCACCUGGUACAGACACGACCGGGUGCUCUGUAUUGGAAAGGUAAAGGCAGGUAAACUGUCCCUGUCAUUGUGGAACUCCCAAUCUUGGUAUAAUUUUGAGUGUUUUAUCACAAGUGAGAAAGCUGAGCAUUUUUUGUUUGGGGGUAAAAUCCACUAGGACAAACUAGGGUGUAUAUCAGAAAAACUUUCUGCCUUUAAUUAAUUUCCAAAUGCAUAUCCCUUUGGGGGCUGUGGAAAUCAUUAGUGCUUGUCACCAAAUAUUUCUGUUCUCCUUCUACUGACCACAUAGUAGGUUAUAUUUUUCUGAGCCACUGAAGUUGAGCAUGGCUGUGUGACUUGCUUUGUCAAUGAAAGAUGAACGGCACCGUAUGUUUUACUUCCAGGCAAAAGCCUUAUAAGCCAUCACAAUGCUCCCCUGUGGUUCUUCCCCCUGCCAUCCCACAUAACCAGCAAUGUUCCAAGUAGUGGAAGCUCACAAGCCUGUGUCUCUCCAUGAGGACAAAAUGGCAAUAUAAACCUGGCAGACACAGGGUGGACAUGUAGUAUGAGCAAGUUGUGUUAAGCCAUGGAGUGACAGAUAUGUGAAGUGCAUGGAAAUGAAAUUCAGGAGAUUUGGUUUUCCUGUCAUAUUUUUCUUAAAGUUUUUUAUGCUUUUUAGGAAUUCAGGAGAGCUGAACAUCUGUAUGAAUUAGCAAAUAUAGAAGUUGCUGAGCACUCAGAAUGGAACUGCUUUGUGGAAUCCUUGUCUUUUUUCUCAACCUAGAUCCACCUUCUUGGACUCACCCCCACCAUGCCCCCACCCUUCUGGCCAUUGGAGCUCAUCCUGUCCCUUGCCACACAUCAGUUUCCAGGUGACACUCUGCUUUGCUACAGGAAGAAACACACAUGCACCACCACCCCACCCCACCCCCGCCUUUAAUUUCUGUGGCAGGUAGUGGUGAUAAUUUUCGAAGGGGAUGACUCACUGGGGAGGAGUGGAAAAUGUUUCCUUCUUCCCCCACUAUAGGAGGGCUGGGUCCUCUGUGACUCUGACAGCUUCGGAGUCUUACCCUCCACUACUGUGGUGGGAGAAAAGAUUACUAAAAGUUCUCUGAUAACAGGAAAGAGGAGGGAAUGUCACCCAAAAGAGAGAGGGAGGGAUUUAGAAAGAAGGGAGAAGCCAAAGGAAAGGGAAAGACUCUUUUGAGGGGCAUUUUGACAGGAUCGGCGAUCUGUCUGGGGCCUGGGAAAUAGCAGAAUCAGUAAAUGGUAAAAGAAUCUCUGGUUCCAGAAGAGUAGCUGGACCAGAGACCCACCAUCCCACGGUUUCACCAAAAAGCCGUGGGAGGUGUUGGUCACCUAAUGUAGGGGUGAGGAAGUACCUCCAAUCACCACCCGCCUACCUCCAGCCAUGCUAACCCCAGUAGAGGCCCUGCCCCAUGAUUGCUGCCCCCUUGCAGCCAAGCCACAGGGCCCGACAGCCCCAAGCCAGAGGGCCUGGGAUUUUCCCAAGUCUCAUCUCCCUACAUCCCCACAGCUCCCACAAGUCAGAGCUGGAUCUAUAAGGCGCAGCCAAGUUGAGGACCCUACAAUGGAUACUGAAGAGAAGUUGACUGAGGGAAGUCCAGGAGUCGAGAAUGUUUUAACUGGGCAGCUUGUCUGCCUUGUUUAACGAGUAACCAUACUGAACGUUAAGGGUUCUUUGAUUUGGAAACAUCUCUGCACGCUUGAGAGACGGUGCAAUGGGGCUGCCUCCUGCCCUGCACAGUAUCUAAUGGGGCUGCUGGAGGCAGAGUGGAGAGGCCUUGGUUAACAGCUGUGAUUGGUGACCUUGAUUUUAGUCACCGGCUGAGUGACUUUAAAGCAGGAAGUGAGGAGGCCAUUCCCUCCCUGUCCCUCCUUCAAGGGCUCGCCCAGGACUGAAUAAUGAGUGCAUUAAAUGCAGCUCUUCUCUGCCCACCUGUGCUCCCCCUUUUGCCCCUUUACUUUCACGAAUUCUGACCCCUGGUACCCAAAGCCCUGAGUGUAUGAAUACUCCCCUCAGAGAAUCUGCUUCUUUUAACAGAUUGGGAGGAGCAGAGCCAUCCGGGCAGGUCUGUUCAUGCGGGAAGCAGACAGAUGCCUUCAAAUCCCACUCAGAUGCCAGACCCCUUAGGGUCUCAGUGGGGAGACAGGCCUGGCUCUGCUUGGAAGCAAGUCAUAAAGAAGGCAGGCUUGCUUUGUCGACGUAUCACCUCAAAACAGAGGAAGCUAUUCUGGAGCAAAGAAGCCAGAGAGAGUUGUCAAUGGAAAGAGGGGUGGAGAGAAGCCUGGUGGAGUGACAAAUGCCUGGGCCUGUGAAGUGCUUCCACACACUGAAGAGCCAGGCCCGGCUGGAGCCAGGGCAUCCCCGAAAGCCCGGGUGAGGCCGUCCUGGGGUGUGCUCCUCGUUUCCUGUUGCAGCCCAUCUCCACACACGAGCGAGCGGCUGCGGAACAACGGCUUGCAGUGACUCAGCUUUAUAAAUAGGACAUUCGUAGCGAAGAGUAUAGGAAAUUCCCAGAGUCUGCUGCCUGGCCUUAUUUUGGGUGUGCAGUUCACACAAGUGAAGUCCCAGCCUCCCUCCCCACAGCCUCCUCGGGGGCUUGAUUGCAGGCGCAUCUCCUCUGCUUUGUGACCUUGUGACCGGAAAUGUCCCGGGGGAGGGCUGAGAGGCACAGGGGAUGGAGGUGUCCACCUGGGACCUUGUUCAGACGCCGUGGGAGAGAGGAGCGAACACUGGCCUCAGGGUCCCCGCGCCCAGCCCGCAGAGCUCCUCGUCUGCCUUGUCUCACUGACUCUCGCUUACUCCCCCGAGGAAGGUGUGUCAUUAUUCCUAUUUGGUAGAUAAAGAAACUGGAAUCCAAACCCACAUCUGACUAAUCCUGGAUCUCAAGGCUGAACCGCAGACCCAGCCUCUCCUAAGCAUAGAAUAAGAAGGCAGAAGGAUGAUAGGGAUGAUAGUAAAGGAGAGCCUUCUGUUUUCAGGAGACAAGGAUGGGAGAAGGGUGCCAGUACCCUGACCUUCUGGUGAUACUGCUUUUUUCCUUCUUUCCCUCAGUGACAUCUUCCUUGGUAGGGGGCUGUUUGUGGAAGCUCAAAGACUUGAGCUUUGAGUGGUUCAAUGGCCCCUGCUGUAGCUGGGUUUAAAGAAUCUGAGAGGGUGUCUACACAGAGGCAGGAGGUUCUGCAACAGAGAGGGUGGGGGAGAAGUCAGGGCAUUGCAGGUUUAGGACCUGAAUGCUAUUCAAAUAUUUGCCCAACAACUCCCAGUGCUUUGGAAUAAGUGGCAGGAGCGGCCCUGCUGAGUCACUGGAUGCUGAGGCAUUAAACAGAAAUGUGAUAGCACGCCUCUAAUGACUUCCAACCUCUCCUUCCUUGUAAUGAGCCAACGUCUCCCUCACCAAGGGGCCUCCUUACAAGGAGAGGCCUCUGCUUCUAGGCUGCCAGACAAGGUGGCACCUUCCACCUUUCUGGUAUGGAGUUGGCACGCCCAUGACUUCAUCAGGUGGCUGGGACUGCCAACACUGUUCCGAGCUCCAGAACUAUAUUUCCAAUAAUCUAUGAAGUUUUUCCUCUUAGAUGCCCCCAAGUCUUCCGAUUUCAAGUUCAUAAUAGAACACUCCAGACUUUUCUUCCUGUAUUCUCCCUUUUAGUUAAUGACCUCACUUUCACCUAGUCACUGUAGUUAGCAAAUGCUGAAUCAUCUUUAUUUCCUUGGCUCCACUCCUCCUCCUGCUUUCCCUGUGUAACUGAUCCUCACGGCCUUCAUGAGGGCCCCCAGUUUCCCCCACCACCUGGAGUACAAGCAGGUACUGGGUCCUGGCCACGGUGCCCUUUUCUGACCAGGGUGUGUACCUGACCCAAGCCAAGCCCAUCAAAGCCCUUUCCCAGGAUUUUUCAAGUGGCAACAGGGAGUUGGAUCACCCCAUCCCUUUCCUUUCUGGUUACCAGCUGGGAGGCCUGUGGUCAUGUGCUCUGCUGCCUGGAAAAAGUCCAUCCACAGCAGGAUGGGAGACCAUGCUGAUGAAUGAUGGCAAGAGAACUCCUGAACAGAUGGAGUUCCUUAUUCAGCCUCCCCGAGUCCGCACUGUGGCCUCUCUCCAACUCACCCUCUGCAGGGUCACCAGGAUUCUCUACUGUUGUUUCCAACCUGUUGUCUUAAAAAAAAAAAAAAAAAAUCUAACUACAGGGAAGUUUACAGAAUUAUUCAAUGAACACCCAUACAUU
Molecule: long non-coding RNA, 6180 nt
Organism: Canis lupus familiaris (dog)
Lineage: Eukaryota; Metazoa; Chordata; Mammalia; Carnivora; Canidae
Exons: 2
Source: RefSeq, a predicted model, not a curated record